GAGCUAUCAGUGUGAGGAUAGGUUACUUUACGCAAUGAGGUUCCAUACCUACAUUUUCGUCAUAGUUGUGACCCGUUCGUUGCCCAACGAUGUUUAUUGUGAAUUGGGAUGUGAUAACUCACGGAAUCACUUGCAGACCUGUCAAGCUUACUGCAACUCUGUGUGGGGUAGGGCUCCCUUGCUCAACAAGCCGUACAGUCAUGGAGCCUGCUUCAACAACGACUGCGUCUGCAAGUUCAACACAAUCGAAUUGCAGCCAUACGCAGAUCAAUGUGUACACAGGUCCGUUUGGGGAUCGGUUGGGAGCAAUAAAAAGGUUGCCGAACGAGCUAUCAAGGCGAAAACUAUUCGCAUGGACGUAAGACAACGAUUUGAUGUAUUCAAGAAAUCCUACGGAAAAAAAUAUAGCUCAAAGACAGAGGAGCAGAGGCGUUUCGUGAUAUUCAAUGAGAACUUGAUCAAAAUCGAAAAACUCAUGGCUACAAGGAAAGGGAGUGUCGUCUAUGGUGUCGGCCCAUACACGGACUGGACCAGCGAAGAGUACAUGAAAUCGAUCGGCGUCCAUUACCCGGAGGGCAAAACUGAGUCCGGAAGACUGCAACCGCGAAUGGUAAAUUCUAGCCGAUAUAGGAGAAGUAGAUCGAUGUCAUCUGAACCACCCUUUCGGACACCUAAGCGCGGGGGCUCGGAACCCCUUACCAAAACAAUUACUACUUUGGGACGGAUCCACAAGGAGCAGUCAUUAAGGAUUGGCGCGUUCCUGCCCAUUUGUAUCCACCAUAUCAGGCUCAAUUUAAGUACGUAA
RNAcentral lists this long non-coding RNA (805 nucleotides) under Bemisia tabaci. Its description in RNAcentral is "lncRNA ENSSSA1NGG006234". Lineage: Eukaryota; Metazoa; Arthropoda; Insecta; Hemiptera; Aleyrodidae. The record is from RNAcentral.